Molecule: long non-coding RNA, 10118 nt
Organism: Marmota monax (woodchuck)
Lineage: Eukaryota; Metazoa; Chordata; Mammalia; Rodentia; Sciuridae
Exons: 4
Source: RefSeq, a predicted model, not a curated record
CGGCAAAUGAGCGCAGAGCCAGAGGCAGAGUGGAGCUGAGCUCUGAGCAGGAGCGAUCCGCCUCUCUCCUCCCGCCCCCUCCCCGCGGCUGUCACUGCCGCCUCCCCUCUUUGGCGCUGCUGGGAUUGGCUCCCCCUACCUCCGCCCCCCACCCUCUACAGCUCGGGGGAGGCUCCGGUGAAAGGGUGAACUGCAAAGUGCAGGGAGGGAGACCAUCUCCCAGCAACACCACCUCUAAACCUCAAGCCACCGAUGUUGGGGUGCAAGAGAGAGCGGGGCCAGAGACCCCACUGUGAGGAAACCUCGCCCACAAUUUUCAGACACCCUCUUCCCCUACCAUCAGCACUGUCUGGUGGAGUCAGAGCCUGGGUUAUGCCUCUGGGUUCCCUGUUCGUUUCUCCAUGUCAGCCCCUAUUUUGUUUGUUCCUCCUGCCAGUUCCAGCCAGUCCCCCGUCUCCACCCUGCUUCUCUCAGCUUCAAGUGGGAAGAGUAUGCAGAGAAAAGUCCACCCGUUCUCUGAUACAGGCGCUGUAGACAAUUUUUUGUUGCCUCAAGUUCCAGCAGGAUGUCACUCUCACUUAGGGCCCCCUGUCUGGAUAUCAUCCAUUCCCAGGGGGCCUUCUUCCCUGAUCUAAUAAUGACCCUCUUGGCCAUCCAUGAAGAUAAGAAAAACAGUGAACCAGGAUUUAAUUUCCAACCACUUGUUUCAAUCAACCCAGCAGGAAUUGUCUUUUGGGAGCAAUACCCUGCUUCUGGCUCUCCUCUGACUCUGCAGAAGCCUCCAAAUACCUGGCACAGAGGCUGGGCAUGGGCAACUCUUUUUGAGGUUGAUUUCUGGAAGAGAAUGGGAACUCCUGUUUGGAGUUCUUGGAAUAGGUGUAUGUGAAGAAAUAAGGUCAAGAGAUGGACUGUAUCAAGGGAAGGCAAGGAAGUCCUCUGCUUAGUGACCCAUGUCCUAGACCUGCCUUUCUUCACUUUAUAUGAAAUGCUGGCAGGAAUCCAGAAGGAGCCCAAAGGACUUGCUGACAUCAACACAACAAAGUGUGGAGAUAAGGGAAUUGUAUUCUGCCUUCUUCCAUCCAGAAAGCAAGGGAGGCUACAAGUGUCUGAGCUCAACUGUCCUCUACUAAUGCCAUGACACUCAGGAGGAGAGUUAAGGACAGGUAGGGGUCUCCUAGCCAGAUGGGACCAACACCUGGGAGAUUACCUUAACUCUGUCUCUGAGAAUUGAGUCUGGGCCACAUAGAUUAAGGGGGUGGGGGACACUAAGAAGAUUGUCCCACACAGAUCAAUUUUUAAUAACUUCAAUUUGCCACCAGCUCCAGAUCCAGCUGUUCUGGGGUUUAUCACCUUGGAAAAAACUAAUGUCACAGGCUGAGCUAUCCAUACAGUGAUUAGUGAUCAGAGAAGACCCAGUCCAUGAUCUCUUCAGAUCAUACAUCUAGGCAUGGGAGUCUGUUGGUGGAUUCUCUGAAACUAAUGCUUAUCUGCUCAAAGUUGGAGCCACAACUAUGGUUCCCAGGGAGGGCAAGUAUACCAAAGAGAUACAGGGCUAACUGGAUAACAGCUAGGGAGGUCUCACACCUGUUCUCACAGCUGGAUUUCUGCACUUUAUCCAAUUAUUUCUGCGCCUGCUUGCUCCUUGCCAUCCUAAGGGCUUUAGAAAGGGAGAGUCUUAUAGCAGCAGCUAUUUUGGAGGUAGCUGUGGAGUUUAAAAAAAAAAACAAAACCUACAAUGGUCCUGUGGAGGCUAUACAAAGGAGGAACCACAGACUGACUUCCCGAAGAUCAGGAGAUUUGCCCAUGGUCCCACCCAGAAUAUGGGUAGAUAGGGUGAAGGCCCUAUACAUAAUGCUCACCUGGCCUUUUUCAGAUGGAGGGCACCCUGCUCCCAGCAGGUUCUCUCCCUCUCAGGGGCACCAGACCAUAGCAGGAACAGAUUCCUCCCCAGAGGAAAUUCUUAAGCAGGCUGGAUGUAAACAACAGCAGGGUGAGGGGGUGGAACAUGUGGAGGGGAGCUCAGCAGAGGCAGGAGAGGCCCCCAGUGGGAGGGGGUGGCUGAGAAGAUGGGAAAACUGCUGGAAAGGGAACCAGCAAAGUAGGCACUUUAAGGGCUCCAGAAAACCUGUCAAUGUUUAUUUUGUGCACACCCUAAAGACAGUUUAAACCAAACUAAAAAUGCAAAGCUAAGGUUGUAAGCCUUUUAUGCUGAUGAGUCAAUGGGCUGGAAGGCAAGGGAAAGCUAACAGGUAUUUCUGGUGCCAAAACUAAAAUUCAGAAAGUGGUGGCCAGACAGUGAGCACUGCGUAGAUUCCAGCCUCCAGUUUCUUACAGGAAUCGACUUUGAAUUGGGGGGGGGGGGGAAGUGCCCUACUCCUAUCCUAUCCUAUCCUAAGCCUGACCUGAGGGUCCUAAUGACUGGACAGAGUCCUAGCAGGGUAAGGACACAGAUGUCAAACCCAGCUCAGCUCCAAGCUUAAAGGGAACAGGAUAUGGCUCCUGGUAUGUCUGAAAGUUGAUCUAUUUUCAGAAGCCAAGGAAAGCCAUUAGCCUUCAGGGUCCUGGCCUCUCCUGAGGCUUGCCCCAUCAGCUUCUGAAAAUCAGCCAGAAGUCACAACUUGUAAAGUUAAUUGGAAAUGUGAGGGGGUGUCCAGGGGACCCAUCUAGAAGUCCCCAUGUUCUUGGAUGUCUCUCCUUUUGCCCACCCAUUCCUCCCCAAAUAAGAUCAUCCCUGGCUUGCCCCUGCUGUCCAAGCUUCACUGAAGUGUGGCCUUCACCAGGAGAACUCAGUAUCUGUUUCUCUCCAAUCUUGGAGGCAGCCCCCUCUCCCCUUGCACCCAUCCAGCUCAGGAGCCUCAUGAGUAAGGGCAGUCAGUGGCUGUCAGGUGGGCAUGGCCUCAGGAGAUAGUGGAGAACUCCUUUAGCAGGACCUCCUGGCUGAGUGUGUGGAAGGCCAGGUUCCUCCGGACAUUGGUGCUAAUGGAUCGAACCUGGGAAAGGGUAGGGGUAAGGUGGGAAGGCACAGAAAGAGAGAAAACAGGACAUAGUCAGUUACAAACAGCAGACGGCAGUGCCUGUGGCACAGGGCUAAGGAAGUAUCCACCAUGCUAGCAGGGGAAAGACCUAUGGAGAACUGCUGAGAGGGCCAAACUCUCUAUUAUGAGAGGGUUCCACAAGGAAUCUAGCAGACUCUGCAAGGAGGUUCAUCCAUGUAUAUGUUUAUGAGAAACAAAAGGGUGGGGGGAGGAGAUAGUGUGUGUCCUGAGCCCUAAAAUCUGCUUUGCUGUAGAAAAGUUAAUAAAGUUGUUAGGUAGGAAACAGGAAAGAACAGCGUGGCAAACUGCAAGCAACUCAAGUUCAUUAACUCCCAACUGGACCAGACUCACUUUGCAUCCCUGUGCCAGAAGUGCAGACAGGAGAGCUGAGUAAGGCAGAGGCUACCACCAAAGAGCCUAAAGACAGAGCUCCUCUAAUUCUCCUUCACAAUCUUUUUCAUCUCCCAAUAGUUAAUUGCUGGUCCCCAGUAAUUCCCCAACAUGGACAUAAAGACUCAUCAACUACCCCAUAAAAAUACUCUUACUUGCUAUAUCCUUACACUAAUGGCUUCCCUGUUCCCAACUAACUCACACCAGAGAAAUCCUGAGGAGGUCAUGUCAGGGUCAGAUUUGGGCUGUGUUUAGCACAAGACAUGAUCUAAAAUCUAGCACCUUCACUGUGGAUGGAUGUGGUGUGGGGAAGUAAAAGCUGGGCCACUGGAAGUUAUACUCCAGCAGAGGGAAGUCUAAAGACAUGGGAAGUAGGUACAGAGGCCUCAGUGUCCUGGUCUUAGUUCCCAGCCAGAAAGUUUAUGUAAACCAAGCAGGUGGUGUGGUAGGACUAUAGGGAGGCUGAAUUUUUCCUGAGAGCAGCUCUGAUCACAGGGCAGAAAAGGGACAAUUAAUAGGGAGAGAUCAGUUUUGUGGAGAUGCUGACUGGGAGGUGGAGUAGGAGGCAGAGAAAAUGCUUACUGGCUCUGGGUAGCCAAGGGUGGGGACUGUAGGAAGCUGAGUGAUUGGAGAGUAGGAGUGGGUAUAGGGAGUAAAAACUAGAGAACUAUAUUAGGAGGGCACUCAGACUAGGAACCAGUUAGGAAUUUAGGAAGAAGUGAAUAAUUGAUUCUCAUUAUCCUCAUUAGUUGCUCUGAGGCCUUGAUAAAGAGCAAUGAGCCAGAACUACCACUGGGAACACACGUCAAAUCCCAGGCCCAGUUGGAGCUGUGCAAGGGCUGUCUCCAUGGCUUCAGAGGAGGUACUGCACUGGGAAUAUUUUCUUCUCUCACUGCCUCCUCCUGAACUGUUUUGGUAGAGAAGUUUUAUAUUGGAUCCCAGCAGACCCUUCUAGUCUUAGCCUGUGGCAAACUGCAGCUGUUCCCUAAAUGUCCACCUACAAACAGAACCUAGUAGCUGGGAAUGGGCCCCCAAGAAACAUAGGCAGAGCCAGGGGCAGAGUACUCACCAGCUCUUUGAAGAAGGCAGCUUCCUUAUGCUGCUCUGAGUAGCGCUCAUACUGGUCCAGGCCAUCCUGCAGCUUCAGUGUGAGUGUGUCAUAGUUGGCUCGUACUACCUCUAGCACCUGAGGGAGGUAAAGAGCAGAGCAUGGACCAUGUAAAUCAUGGGCCUUAGCCCCACAUUGCUACCUUAUUGGGUUGGAUUCAGUCUAGGGUGAUACCUCCAAAAGACCCUGGCUCACUACUUAUCAUCCAGAAAAAAGCCAGGCCACAGGGAACAUUACUUCCUAAUCUCUUCUAUUCCCCUCCUUUCCUUACCAACCUAGCCUGGCCACCAAGGAUGUUUACUCUGGGUAUGAUAAAAGAACAUGAGAAGAAGUAACAGAACUGUGAAUGCCUGAGGUCACUCAUAUUCCUGAUACUAUAAUUUUGCUGUCAUCCUCAUCCUGAAGCUUUCUCUGGCCAGAUUGUCAGUGUCAGACUUUGCCAGUGUCUUCUUGCUUCUCCUUUUCUUGGAACUACAUUUCUUCAGUCCUGGAAUAUUCCUUAGCACCAAAUGCCACUUGUUUUUAAUCUCUUGAUGCCAACUCAGCCUUCCUACCCAUUGUGUGGAUGAAACUUUUGGACAUCCAAGCCUUUGGGUAUAGGGCAUACUUUCAAGACUGAGCUAUAGUUUUUUUUUUUUUUUUAAGAGAGAUUUUUAAUAUUUAUUUUUUAGUUCUCGGCGGCGGACACAACAUCUUUGUUGGUAUGCGGUGCUGAGGGUCGAACCCAGGCCGCAUGCAUGCCAGGCGAGCGCGCUACCGCUUGAGCCACAUCCCCAGCCCUAUAGUUUUUGUUUUGAUGAGAGAUCUCUCUCUUCAACAGAAAGACAUUGUUGAAUGUCAGGGGGAGGAUUCAGACUUCGGCUGACUCUGGGAACCUUGGGUACCACUGGUUAAGAAGGAAAGGACUACUAUAGCUAGGCCUGAUGUGACUUCAACUUAUAAGACCAUCAAAUAAAGGCAAGGUCUGGCAGGGGAGAGGCACUACAUCAAGUAGGCAGAAGUGAGUUGAGCAGAAAAGAAUUACCAGGAGAGGGAAUGACUAUUCACUUUGGUAGUUUAAGGGCACUUAUCUGACCUGUAGGAAAGCCUAUGACAUCAUGGAGAACUCCCUGCUCAGGAGGGAGCUUGAGGAGAAGAAAUGAGUGAUGAGGGACUGUUAGCUCUGCAGGGUGGUAGAGAAUAAGCCAGAGUCAGGGUAGGUCAGAGGGAUUGAGAAUAGAUUCCAAAGGAGUACAAAGGUAUCUCUGGACUGUUCCUUUACCAUUCUAAAUUUGUGUUUGGUCUGACUUUACUUGGUAACAAACACUUCUGUCUGCCAAGAAUUCCUGAGGAAAGAGAUGAGCUAGAGAGCACUGGUAAAACUUGUGUCCCUAAGGCAGAGUUCUCUGAGUUUCAGUUCAGAAGGAAGGGAUAGCUAGGGCACAGCUCUGGCCCAGUUUUCUUCCUUCCAGACAUUCUCAGCUCCAUAAAAUAAUUUUGUUGGCUCUUUCCCACAGACCCUAAGACAAGCUGGUUCCUUUGCUUCUAAUUCCAAUUGUCAGCUCUGUAGGUAGGUAGACCACAGCCCAGCAAGAGCAGUCACAAAAUAAUCCAGUCUUAUCAAGAACAUGGGCUAUAUACUUGAGCCAGAGUCUUGGCUCAGAAGUGAAUGGCUCAAACCCACACUCAAACCCACAAAAAGGCAAAAUUUUCUCCAAGAUGGAAACAUCCCCAAGGAACCAAGCAAAAUAAAGUAAUACAUGUUUUCCUAAGUCCUGAAAUAUGGGCAGCCUCAGCAAUGCCUAUGACCCAGCAACCUGGGCUUGGCUUUCCUUAAAAAGGUGUCAGGUACUAAAAGACAAAAACCACGUCAAAGCCAAUUUCUGAGAAAAAGGUGCAGUAUGUUAAGAGAUGUCUCUACCUUCUAACUAUGCCCCAAGAGUCUAAGGCCUCCAAGACUCCCUUGAUCACCUAGACAUUCUCCUCUUGCCAGGGAAGAAUGGAAUGUCUAAGGUCUUACUUAACAGGGAAUUUUCCUUUCUCAGUAAGGCGGGCUUUUCAAAGUAUAGCCUAGUACAGUUUGUUACAGGAAGUUCAAAGCAGAAAAGGCUCCUGAGCUACUAGCUCCUUAGAAGGAAACCAGAAGCCUGGCUGGAUUAUUACGCAGUGCAUGAUUACGGCUCCACUCUUAUCUGGAUAUUGCCCAGUGCUGCCUCCUCCUUCCCUGGUCUUUCUUUCUCUUUUACCUAGCAAAAAGUUGUCCAUCAGCUCAUCUAGACUCUACCGUCUCCUGCCCUCAUCACCUCUCAAUUACUUGCAAGAGAACACACUCUAAGCUCAGGUCUGGGCCUCAACUCAUUCAGCAUUUCAGAGCACUUGCCAAGUCUGGGAUUUUGCUUUCUGGAGUAAAAGACUUUAGGAACAUGUGCCAUUUGAGCUUCAACACUGGCUUGGGGUGUGGCAAGAGUAAUUUCUCAGAUUGUGUUUAAAGGCCUUAGGCUUUAUUGGGCCCGGUGGUGCAUUCCUGUAAUUCUAGCAACUUGGAAGGCUGAGGGCCUAAGCAACUUAGCCAGACCCUGUCUGAAAAAUAAAAAAAUAAAAAGGGUAGGGGCAGUAGCUCAGUGGUAAAGCACUCCUGGGUUCAAUCACUAGGGGGAAAAAGAAAAAGACCUUAGACUUUACCCUAAUUUACAGCCUUGGGAUCUGGCUUCCUGGUAACUCCAAUUGCCCCUAUCAGGUUAAGAUCCCUUCCCAAUUCAUCAGGUAACAGUCUAGUCCCCAAGCACAUACAAACCCUCUUUCAUCAGUUGUUGGGCUUGUGGGAUUCCUAGAACUAGGCCCACUACCUUAGCUCAAAUAGCUUCAAAGUCAGAAAUCACCUACAAGACAUAAUCUUUAAGGAACCCUUACACUACUUAUGACCCUUAGUAGACAGGAACUUGGGUCCUGGUAAGAGCCUGAUAGAAAAAUAACUUACUUGAGCCAAGAAUGGUAGCACAUGCCUGUAAUUUUAGCAAUUUGGGAGGCUGAGGCAGAAGGAUCAAGGCCAGCCUUAGCAAUUUAGUGAGACCCUGUCUCAAAAUUUAAAAAAAGGACUGGGGAUGUGGUUCAGUAGUGAAGCAUCUCUGGGUUCUAUCUCCAGGACCAAGAAAAGAGAGAAGAAAGAGAAAGUAAGGAAACAAACUGAAUUGGAGUUCCACUCUAUGUGUAUAUGUGCUACUGGGGGUUGAAUCCAGGGCCUUGUACAUGCUCGGCAAGCACUUAUUAACCAGCUCAAUUGAAAUUGCCCAUUGUGGUGGCACACUCCUGUAAUGCCGGCUACUCUGAAGGCUGAAGCAGGUGGAUUGCAAGUUUGAGGCCAGCCGGGACAAUUUAGACUCACUUCAUCUCUGGCUCAUGGACUCUUUUUGAGAGGCACUUUCAUCACUUCAUUUAACUUUGAAAGAAGUUGGAGGAGGGUGAGGACAUGUGCUUGCUAAUCAUCCUUUUCCAGAUUGUCUCAUGCACCAGAAUGAGCUUUUAUUAUUGGUCUGUGGCUGCUUCUGCUGGAGAAAGAUUUCAGCCUGACCUUCCCAAGCUGCUAGGGAUGAAUGCUGCACGUGGCUGACAGUGAAAAUGUGUCUUCCUAUUUUUUAAAAAAGCUUUUAGGCUAACCAGAGCUCACUGAUGUAGGAAAGUCAUCCCUUUUCUCAGUGUUCAGAAUUCAAGGUGUUGCAUUCUUCUGCAUAAAAAUGACAUAGAAACUGACACAAAUGGGUCCAAGAGAAAAAGAUAGCAGCAUCAGGAAGCACCUCACAGAGAGCUCAGCAUCAAAGAAUAGGACUCCGGACUGCUCUAAGGCAGAAAGGAAAAAAUAAAAAAUAAAAGCCAUUUAUAACAGAGUUUUAAAUGUGAGGAUGGAUUCGCACAGCUGGCCUCACAAAAGAGAACAAAUAUGUCAAAGGGAACAACUGACAGACUAAUAGAGUCCUAUCCAUCUGGCUGAGGAAAGAAGCACUGGGGAAUACUGAGAAGCCUGUCUGUUAGGAAAAAGCUUGCCUCGUGCUUCAUUGGGUGAACUGAAUAGCUUUUAGGAACACUGAACACAUGGUCAUACCAUAGCUGCUGGCUGGUCCUGUCAGGAAGAAGCUCAGAAAAGGGGUACAAUGAUGCAUUGGCAAGCAAGGGAGAAAGGAGCAUAUGUGGUCUUCUUAUUGGCUUGGAAUCCAUACCCUGGCCCCUCCAACUUGGGAGGAGGAUGAGAAGAAAGGAAGGGGAAUCAUGUGAAGAAGAUAUCUUCUUUUCUGCUUUUAAAAAUGGACUCAAGUGUCUCAGAAUGAAACAUCAGGUUCAACCCUAUGCCAUGCUAAUGCCCCAUCUGUACUUUUAUAUAAUGUAGAGCUAAGUGCAGGCACUUUGGGAGAAGGGGAAAUCAGGCCAGAUUCAAGCAAAGCAAAACACAAGCUCUCUGCAUUUCCAUCUCAGUCCAUACCAUAAAAAAGCCUGCUCAGAAAAUAAUUGCUCAAGGCAAAGGGAACUCAAUUACUAAGGAAAAUCUGUCCCAAAAAGGGCUCAUGUUUUAACGAGCCAAAAAGCUUCAAAUUAAGCUGAACUAAGGGUUUUUCUAAUUGGCAGUUUUAUACAUUUCUAAGAUCUCGUUUCUUACUUUCAAAAAUCAAAAAUGACUCUAAGAUUUUAAAAAGUAAUGAUUUAUCACCCACUCUAAAACAAUAAUUCACCAAAUUUUCAACUAUAUUUCUCCUAUGUAAUUAAACAAACCAUGCAGAUGGCACAAAUGCAGAAGAUAUUACUUGCUAUUUUAAGUACUAUCAAGCAAUCCUGUACUAAUUCGUCUCAAAUGGCCUGGCUCUUGCCAUUCCCGUUCAGUCACAGAAUCACCUGCCACCAGAGAGAAGGCAACUGAUUGAUCCUAGCCACCAACUAGGUCACUCUGAGAAGAGUAAUGGCUUACCUGCUCCUCUGACAGUUGGGAUAUGUGAUUCACAGCAGCAUAGGACUCAAUUUUGGGGUUAAAGUGGUUGAUGAUGGCUCUGAAACAAAGAAUUAAAAUUAAUAUAGUACCAGAUGGGAGAAGAGGAUAAACUGGUUAAAAACAAGGAUUGAGUACCCUCUGGCUUAGAGUGCUAGAUCAUGGGAGUGAUUGUCAGAAGGUAAUUGUCUUCUUACUAAUCAUGAGAUUACAAAUGGAAGUGAAUUAACAACUCUGAAUAGGAAGAGUUUAAUAAUUUAUUAGAGGACAGAAUCAAGCAUCUCCACUAUGCAAAUGAAGCAGAAAAAUCCACAACCAAACAAGCUAAACAAAGAAAAACCAUGUGAGUCCUUCAGAUAAGAAACAGGACCAAGGGUGCUGGCUGCCAGAGGGCCCUAUGUUUCAAUCAAAAAGGGAAGUUGUGAGGGGAGUGAAAGAAGGGGUGGGGCAGUGGGGAUGGGAAGGACAGUGGAAUGAGACAAUACAUUAUUACCCUAUAUACAUGUAUGAUUACACUACUGGAGUGAUCUGCACCAUGUACAGCCAGAGGAAUGAGAAGUAUGCUCCAUUUGUGUACAAUAUGUCAAAAUGCAUUCUACUGUAAAAUAAAUACAUAAUAAACCUUUUCUCUUUACAA